AAACUCCGCAAUGCGCGCAAGCGUGACGGGGGGAUUCUGAGUGCUUCGGUCUCACCGAGGCUUUUCGUGAGGGUUCAUACCUCGCGGAAUAGGUGGUGGGCAAGACUGGUGCCAGCCGCCGCGGUAACCCCAGCGCCACAAGUGGGAACCACGUUUAUUGGGUCUAAAGCAUCCGUAGCCGGCUUGUUAAAUGCCCUGUGAAAUCGUUCUGCCUAACAGGACGGCGUGCAGGGUAGACUGGCAAGCUAGGAACCAGGAAAGGUAUGCGGUAUUCUGUGGGGAACGGUAAAAUGUUAUAAUCCACAGAGGACCACCGAUGGCGAAGGCAGCAUACUUGAAUGGAUUCGACGGUGAGGGAUGAAAGCCAGGGGAGCGAUCCGGAUUAGAUACCCGAGUAGUCCUGGCCGUAAACGCUGCGUGCCAGAUGUUGCACAAUCCUCGCGAUUGUGCAGUGUCGCAACGAAGGUGUUAAGCACGCCACCUGGGAAGUACGGUCGCAAGUCUGAAACUUAA
Molecule: ribosomal RNA, 513 nt
Filed under: uncultured archaeon
Lineage: Archaea
Description: bacterial SSU rRNA
Rfam family: Archaeal small subunit ribosomal RNA
Source: RNAcentral